This 442-nucleotide ribosomal RNA is filed under the name uncultured bacterium. RNAcentral describes it as "bacterial SSU rRNA". It matches the Rfam family "Bacterial small subunit ribosomal RNA", at positions 354 to 796 of the family's 1533-position model. The record is from RNAcentral.
GUGGGGAAUCUUGCGCAAUGGCCGAAAGGCUGACGCAGCGACGCCGCGUGGGGGAUGACGCAUUUCGGUGUGUAAACCCCUGUUGCCCGGGACGAACACCUCCUUUUGGGGAGGCUGACGGUACCGGGUGAGGAAGCACCGGCUAACUCCGUGCCAGCAGCCGCGGUAAUACGGAGGGUGCGAGCGUUGUCCGGAAUCACUGGGCGUAAAGGGCGCGUAGGCGGCUACUUAAGCGUGUGGUGAAAGUCCGGGGCUCAACCCCGGAUCGGCCGUGCGAACUGAGUGGCUCGAGCACUGUAGAGGCAGGUGGAAUUCCGGGUGUAGCGGUGGAAUGCGUAGAGAUCCGGAAGAACACCGGUGGCGAAGGCGGCCUGCUGGGCAGUGGCUGACGCUGAGGCGCGACAGCGUGGGGAGCAAACAGGAUUAGAAACCCGAGUAGUCC